GCCACCGUCGCAACCAUCGCCACCGCAACCACCAAAACCACCACCUAAAAGCCAAUUAAGAAGCAACCAAGAAAUUCAAGAAAACCAAAAAAGAAUUCAAAGAAGCAACAGCCAAAAAAACCAAAUUUUGGGGAAGAAAAAAACGUUUACCUUCGAGUCGUCGGUCACUGAGUGCGGAAAAGAGCCGAGGACAAGCACAGCGGCGGUGCCUUCCUCUUUGGGGUUGUUGAAAUAGAAGAGAAAGAGAGGAGAAGGAAAGAAAAAAGAAAGAAAGGAGAGAAAGAAAAGAAGAAAAAAAAGGGACAAAAAAAUAGAGAAAGCUUUUCGAAAAAAAGAGAAGAGAAGAGAGAAAUGAGAAGGGAAAGGGGAAAGAAGAGAGAAGGGAGGAGUCCGGCCAUCGUCGGCAAUAGAGGAAGCAGCAGCGACGGUGCGG
RNAcentral lists this long non-coding RNA (433 nucleotides) under Gossypium barbadense (sea-island cotton). RNAcentral describes it as "long non-coding RNA (GBAR_LNC021557)". The record is from RNAcentral. Lineage: Eukaryota; Viridiplantae; Streptophyta; Magnoliopsida; Malvales; Malvaceae.